CCUACGGGAGGCAGCAGUGGGGGAUAUUGCACAAUGGUGGAAACCCUGAUGCAGCGACGCCGCGUGUGGGAAGACGGUCCUCUGGAUUGUAAACCACUGUCCCCAGGGACGAAGAUGACGGUACCUGGGGAGGAAGCUCCGGCUAACUACGUGCCAGCAGCCGCGGUAAUACGUAGGGAGCGAGCGUUGUCCGGAAUUACUGGGUGAAAAGGGAGCGUAGGCGGGACUGCAAGUUGGGUGUCAAAUCUACCGGCUCAACCGGUAGCCGCACUCAAAACUGCAGUUCUUGAGUGAAGUAGAGGCAGGCGGAAUUCCUAGUGUAGCGGUGAAAUGCGUAGAUAUUAGGAGGAACACCAGUGGCGAAGGCGGCCUGCUGGGCUUUUACUGACGCUGAGGCUCGAAAGUGUGGGGAGCAAACAGGAUUAGAUACCCGAGUAGUC
RNAcentral lists this ribosomal RNA (440 nucleotides) under uncultured bacterium. Its description in RNAcentral is "partial 16S ribosomal RNA". It matches the Rfam family "Bacterial small subunit ribosomal RNA", at positions 338 to 795 of the family's 1533-position model. The record is from RNAcentral.